Long non-coding RNA from Mytilus californianus (California mussel), 178 nucleotides. RefSeq lists it as uncharacterized. The transcript is spliced from 2 exons. NCBI's taxonomy places the organism in Eukaryota, Metazoa, Mollusca, Bivalvia, Mytilida, Mytilidae. The record is from RefSeq and is a predicted model, not a curated record.
ACUAUAUUAUUUACUAGUUUUGACAUUAAGACUUAUGAAGUCAUAUUUCUUUAUAUUCAGAUUCCAGUAUGUGAAGUAUAAGAGUAUACAGUAACUUUAUAGAGGAGCACUGCUCAGCCCUUGUAUUAUAUACACGGGUGUUUAUUUGAGAUUACUAUAAUAAACCAAUAGAACCUUA